Molecule: ribosomal RNA, 494 nt
Filed under: uncultured bacterium
Lineage: Bacteria
Description: partial 16S ribosomal RNA
Rfam family: Bacterial small subunit ribosomal RNA
Source: RNAcentral
GACGAACGCUGGCGGCGUGCCUAAUACAUGCAAGUAGAACGCUGAAGGAGGAGCUUGCUUCUCCGGAUGAGUUGCGAACGGGUGAGUAACGCGUAGGUAACCUGCCUGGUAGCGGGGGAUAACUAUUGGAAACGAUAGCUAAUACCGCAUAACAGUAGAUAUCGCAUGAUAUCUGCUUGAAAGGUGCAAUUGCAUCACUACCAGAUGGACCUGCGUUGUAUUAGCUAGUUGGUGAGGUAACGGCUCACCAAGGCGACGAUACAUAGCCGACCUGAGAGGGUGAUCGGCCACACUGGGACUGAGACACGGCCCAGACUCCUACGGGAGGCAGCAGUAGGGAAUCUUCGGCAAAGGACGGAAGUCUGACCGAGCAACGCCGCGUGAGUGAAGAAGGUGUUCGGAUCGUAAAGCUCUGUUGUAAGAGAAGAACGAGUGUGAGAGUGGAAAGUUCACACUGUGACGGUAUCUUACCAGAAAGGGACGGCUAACUACGU